AAGAAAAGCUGUAUCGAUUGUUGAGAUCUGGCGACUUGUUUAAAUUUCAUCAGCCUCACUUCUAUGAACUCUCAGAGCUGAUUACCAACUCCUACCACUGUUAACCCUCAUCCAGGAACAAGCUUAUGUCUUUAACAUUCUGAGUGGGCUUCAGCAUCCUUGCAUAUGUUCAAUUCUUAAAAACCUGUUGAAAUAAAAGAUCAGGAGACAUAGGAAGGAUGCCAGAAGAGAGCGUGGCCUCACGUGUACCAGCUCUCUGCUCUCCUUUGCCUUGGGACGUUCCAUCCCUGGAAGUUUCCCUGCCCACAUCUUUGUAGAGAGUCCAUUCUCCAAGCUUCAGUGUGUCAUCUGUGAGGACCGUGACCCACCUGGUACAUCGCCUCAGGGCAUUCAUUUCAGGCUCCUUCUAAAUGGCCAAGAUCUUGCUUUCUUUUGUAUGUUUGCAAAGAAUAUAUAGUACACUUCCUUGAUCUGUGGUUCCUAAAGUGUGAUUCCCAACAAGCAGCAUCAGGAUCAUCUGGAAACUUGAUAGAAAUGUAAAUUCUACAGUCCCUCCUUGGAGCUACAGAUUCAGAAAUUCUGAAGUUUAAGUCCAGCAGUUGGUUAUAAUAAGCUCUCUAGGUGAUUCUGACUUGCACCAAGGCACCCUUGGAAAUGCAAUGCUACAUCUCAAUGGGAUUUUCCAGUACAAAGAUUCUUUUCAAAUAACAUAAUUGUGGAUACACACCACUCCUACAGUGGUAAACCUCAGGUUCUCCUCCUGCCUUUUGCUAAGUAUAUGUCUUGAUGACAAGCCUUCUGCUGAUGAGCUGUGUUUCUGGACCGAUCAUGGUAGAAGUCAAUUAACGUGUCCCUCACUUGGGGUUUCUCAAGG
Molecule: long non-coding RNA, 874 nt
Filed under: Homo sapiens (human)
Lineage: Eukaryota; Metazoa; Chordata; Mammalia; Primates; Hominidae
Description: testis expressed 41
Source: RNAcentral